This 141-nucleotide ribosomal RNA is filed under the name uncultured bacterium. Its description in RNAcentral is "partial 16S ribosomal RNA". It matches the Rfam family "Bacterial small subunit ribosomal RNA", at positions 355 to 509 of the family's 1533-position model. The record is from RNAcentral.
UGGGGAAUAUUGGGCAAUGGGCGCAAGCCUGACCCAGCAACGCCGCGUGAAGGAAGAAGGCUUUCGGGUUGUAAACUUCUUUUGUUCAGGGACGAAGCAAGUGACGGUACCUGACGAAUAAGCCACGGCUAACUACGUGCC